This 256-nucleotide ribosomal RNA is filed under the name uncultured bacterium. RNAcentral describes it as "partial 16S ribosomal RNA". It matches the Rfam family "Bacterial small subunit ribosomal RNA", at positions 524 to 777 of the family's 1533-position model. The record is from RNAcentral.
UACGUAGGGGGCAAGCGUUGUCCGGAUUUAUUGGGCGUAAAGAGCGUGUAGGCGGCCUGAAAGGUCAGCUGUGAAAACUCGAGGCUCAACCUCGAGACGUCGGUUGAAACCAUCUGGCUAGAGUCCGGAAGAGGAGAGUGGAAUUCCCGGUGUAGCGGUGAAAUGCGCAGAUAUCGGGAAGAACACCCGUGGCGAAGGCGGCUCUCGUGGGACGGUACUGACGCGUGAGACGCGAAAGCGUGGGGAGCGAACGAGG